RNAcentral lists this ribosomal RNA (207 nucleotides) under uncultured bacterium. RNAcentral describes it as "partial 16S ribosomal RNA". It matches the Rfam family "Bacterial small subunit ribosomal RNA", at positions 568 to 774 of the family's 1533-position model. The record is from RNAcentral.
CGCGCAGGCGGUCCUUUAAGUCUGAUGUGAAAGCCCACGGCUCAACCGUGGAGGGUCAUUGGAAACUGGGGGACUUGAGUGCAGAAGAGGAGAGUGGAAUUCCACGUGUAGCGGUGAAAUGCGUAGAGAUGUGGAGGAACACCAGUGGCGAAGGCGACUCUCUGGUCUGUAACUGACGCUGAGGCGCGAAAGCGUGGGGAGCGAACA